RNAcentral lists this ribosomal RNA (253 nucleotides) under uncultured bacterium. RNAcentral's name for it is "partial 16S ribosomal RNA". It matches the Rfam family "Bacterial small subunit ribosomal RNA", at positions 524 to 776 of the family's 1533-position model. The record is from RNAcentral.
GACAGAGGCCUCGAGCGUUAGGCGGAAUCACUGGGCUUAAAGCGUGUGUAGGCGGGCCCGUAAGUGUCUUGUGAAAUCCCACGGCUCAACCGUGGAACUGCUGGGCAUACUGCGGGUCUUGGGCCAACUAGGGGCAGCCGGAACAAGCGGUGGAGCGGUGAAAUGCGUAGAUAUCGGGAGGAACACCAGUGGCGAAGGCGGCUACCUGGCACAUAACUGACGCUGAUACGCGAAAGCGUGGGGAGCGAACCGG